UGUCAAGGGAUGGGAAUCGAACCCACAGUGUUCCGCUUACCAGGCAGAUACCAUGUCCACUAGGCUACCCUGGAC
Molecule: transfer RNA, 75 nt
Filed under: Cordylochernes scorpioides
Lineage: Eukaryota; Metazoa; Arthropoda; Arachnida; Pseudoscorpiones; Chernetidae
Description: tRNA-Thr
Source: RNAcentral